GGCGGAUGUAGCCAAGUGGUCAAGGC
RNAcentral lists this transfer RNA (26 nucleotides) under Salvia sprucei. Its description in RNAcentral is "partial tRNA-His". The record is from RNAcentral. Lineage: Eukaryota; Viridiplantae; Streptophyta; Magnoliopsida; Lamiales; Lamiaceae.